This 1456-nucleotide ribosomal RNA is filed under the name Lacticaseibacillus rhamnosus. RNAcentral's name for it is "bacterial SSU rRNA". It matches the Rfam family "Bacterial small subunit ribosomal RNA". Lineage: Bacteria; Bacillati; Bacillota; Bacilli; Lactobacillales; Lactobacillaceae. The record is from RNAcentral.
UCGAACGAGUUCUGAUUAUUGAAAGGUGCUUGCAUCUUGAUUUAAUUUUGAACGAGUGGCGGACGGGUGAGUAACACGUGGGUAACCUGCCCUUAAGUGGGGGAUAACAUUUGGAAACAGAUGCUAAUACCGCAUAAAUCCAAGAACCGCAUGGUUCUUGGCUGAAAGAUGGCGUAAGCUAUCGCUUUUGGAUGGACCCGCGGCGUAUUAGCUAGUUGGUGAGGUAACGGCUCACCAAGGCAAUGAUACGUAGCCGAACUGAGAGGUUGAUCGGCCACAUUGGGACUGAGACACGGCCCAAACUCCUACGGGAGGCAGCAGUAGGGAAUCUUCCACAAUGGACGCAAGUCUGAUGGAGCAACGCCGCGUGAGUGAAGAAGGCUUUCGGGUCGUAAAACUCUGUUGUUGGAGAAGAAUGGUCGGCAGAGUAACUGUUGUCGGCGUGACGGUAUCCAACCAGAAAGCCACGGCUAACUACGUGCCAGCAGCCGCGGUAAUACGUAGGUGGCAAGCGUUAUCCGGAUUUAUUGGGCGUAAAGCGAGCGCAGGCGGUUUUUUAAGUCUGAUGUGAAAGCCCUCGGCUUAACCGAGGAAGUGCAUCGGAAACUGGGAAACUUGAGUGCAGAAGAGGACAGUGGAACUCCAUGUGUAGCGGUGAAAUGCGUAGAUAUAUGGAAGAACACCAGUGGCGAAGGCGGCUGUCUGGUCUGUAACUGACGCUGAGGCUCGAAAGCAUGGGUAGCGAACAGGAUUAGAUACCCUGGUAGUCCAUGCCGUAAACGAUGAAUGCUAGGUGUUGGAGGGUUUCCGCCCUUCAGUGCCGCAGCUAACGCAUUAAGCAUUCCGCCUGGGGAGUACGACCGCAAGGUUGAAACUCAAAGGAAUUGACGGGGGCCCGCACAAGCGGUGGAGCAUGUGGUUUAAUUCGAAGCAACGCGAAGAACCUUACCAGGUCUUGACAUCUUUUGAUCACCUGAGAGAUCAGGUUUCCCCUUCGGGGGCAAAAUGACAGGUGGUGCAUGGUUGUCGUCAGCUCGUGUCGUGAGAUGUUGGGUUAAGUCCCGCAACGAGCGCAACCCUUAUGACUAGUUGCCAGCAUUUAGUUGGGCACUCUAGUAAGACUGCCGGUGACAAACCGGAGGAAGGUGGGGAUGACGUCAAAUCAUCAUGCCCCUUAUGACCUGGGCUACACACGUGCUACAAUGGAUGGUACAACGAGUUGCGAGACCGCGAGGUCAAGCUAAUCUCUUAAAGCCAUUCUCAGUUCGGACUGUAGGCUGCAACUCGCCUACACGAAGUCGGAAUCGCUAGUAAUCGCGGAUCAGCACGCCGCGGUGAAUACGUUCCCGGGCCUUGUACACACCGCCCGUCACACCAUGAGAGUUUGUAACACCCGAAGCCGGUGGCGUAACCCUUUUAGGGAGCGAGCCGUCUAAGGUGGGACAAAUGAUUAGGG